UCUGGACCUGAUUUUUCAGGUAUGAAGAUUCACCAUUUUAGGAAGAGUCAAAGUAGGGUGUGUGUAUGCAUCACUACUAAAAAGCAGACCGGAGGUUUUUGGUACUGUUGGUGCUGCACAAACGUGAAUAAGGACAUGUUUUGAAAGACAAGUUAGGACCUGAGCCACUUACCACGGAGGAUGCCAAGGAACCAACUGGCUGCUUUUGUUCUUAGCUGUGAGAUGCCUUCAGCGUUUUCAGCAGAGGAGGAAGGGCCGCAAGUAAAAGAAGCUGAGAAGCCUCUGCUCCAAACCCAGCUAAGGAGCCAUUAGAGGGACAAUAGCUGCGCCUCUGCGAUUAAUAUAUGAAAGAACUGAGAUAAGAGCUGAGCUGGGGAAGCAGAGCAGUGCUGGUGGUUGGCAAGGAAGAAGGGGAAUAAGGUGUCCUAGCAGAAGUUUCCCUGCAACCCAUGGCGAGAUGGCAGCUGUCCCCCUGCACUCAUGGAGGAGCACGGCAGAGCAUCCCCUGAAGGCGCCAGGAGGGGCGAAUGUGUACCUGCAGCCCCUGGACCUGGAUCUGCAGCAGUGGAGGACCAUGUGCCAGGGGAGAUGACUGUUCCUGAAGCAGCCUGUGAGUCUGUGGGAAGCCCAUGCUGGAGAAGCAGCAUCCUGACAGACUGCACCUUGCAAGAACUCAUGAAGGAGAGGUUCAUGAAGGACUGUCUCCCAUGAGAGGGACCUCAUGGGGAAACAGGGAAGGACUGUAAGGAACCUGUCUCCCUGAGGAGGAAGGAGCAGCAGGAACCACCAGCCUGUGAACUAAUUCUAAACCCCAUCCCCUGUCCCCCUGUGCCGCUGGGGGGAAGGAGGGAGAGAAACCGGGAACAAAGUAAUUUGGGCCUGGGAAGAAGGAAGGGGUGGGGUAAUAUAUGCAAGCCCUGCUCUGUGUGUUGUUUGUGUCCUGUGUGUGU
Apus apus (common swift) is the source of this 950-nucleotide long non-coding RNA. RefSeq lists it as uncharacterized. NCBI's taxonomy places the organism in Eukaryota, Metazoa, Chordata, Aves, Apodiformes, Apodidae. The transcript is spliced from 3 exons. The record is from RefSeq and is a predicted model, not a curated record.